AACGAACGCUGGCGGCGUGGAUAAGACAUGCAAGUCGAACGGGAUUACUUUUGUAGCAAUACAGAAGUAAUUUAGUGGCGAACGGGUGCGUAACACGUGGGCAAUCUGCCGAGAAGUGGGGGAUAGCUCGCCGAAAGGCGAAUUAAUACCGCAUAUGAUCAGCUAAGACAUCUUAGCGACAUCAAAGCCGGGGCAACCUGGCGCUUUUUGAGGAGCCCGCGGCCUANCAGCUAGUUGGUGAGGUAACGGCUCACCAAGGCUAUGACGGGUAGCUGGUCUGAGAGGACGACCAGUCACACUGGAACUGAGACACGGUCCAGACACCUACGGGUGGCAGCAGUCGAGAAUUUUUCUCAAUGGGGCAACCCUGAAGGAGCGACGCCGCGCGGAGGAU
RNAcentral lists this ribosomal RNA (394 nucleotides) under uncultured bacterium. RNAcentral describes it as "bacterial SSU rRNA". It matches the Rfam family "Bacterial small subunit ribosomal RNA", at positions 29 to 409 of the family's 1533-position model. The record is from RNAcentral.